This 443-nucleotide ribosomal RNA is filed under the name uncultured bacterium. Its description in RNAcentral is "partial 16S ribosomal RNA". It matches the Rfam family "Bacterial small subunit ribosomal RNA", at positions 338 to 795 of the family's 1533-position model. The record is from RNAcentral.
CCUACGGGAGGCAGCAGUGGGGAAUAUUGGGCAAUGGGCGCAAGCCUGACCCAGCAACGCCGCGUGAAGGAAGAAGGCUUUCGGGUUGUAAACUUCUUUUCUCAGGGACGAAGCAAGUGACGGUACAUGAGGAAUAAGCCACGGCUAACUACGUGCCAGCAGCCGCGGGAAUACGUAGGUGGCAAGCGUUAUCCGGAUUUACUGGGUGUAAAGGGCGUGUAGGCGGGGACGCAAGUCAGAUGUGAAAACCAUGGGCUCAACCUGUGGCCUGCAUUUGAAACUGUGUUUCUUGAGUACUGGAGAGGCAGACGGAAUUCCUAGUGGAGCGGUGAAAUGCGUAGAUAUUAGGAGGAAAACCAGUGGCGAAGGCGGUCUGCUGGACAGCAACUGACGCUGAGGCGCGAAAGCGUGGGGAGCAAACAGGAUUAGAUACCCCUGUAGUC